Molecule: ribosomal RNA, 466 nt
Filed under: uncultured bacterium
Lineage: Bacteria
Description: partial 16S ribosomal RNA
Rfam family: Bacterial small subunit ribosomal RNA
Source: RNAcentral
GAUGAACGCUGGCGGCGUGCUUAACACAUGCAAGUCGAACGGAAAGGCCCAAGCUUGCUUGGGUCCUCGAGUGGCGAACGGGUGAGUAACACGUGGGUGAUCUGCCCCGCACUUCGGGAUAAGCCUGGGAAACUGGGUCUAAUACCGGAUAGGACCACUUCUUGGAGGUUGUGGUGGAAAGUUUUUUCGGUGUGGGAUGAGCUCGCAGCCUAUCAGCUUGUUGGUGGGGUAAUGGCCUACCAAGGCGUCGACGGGUAGCCGGCCUGAGAGGGUGUACGGCCACAUUGGGACUGAGAUACGGCCCAGACUCCUACGGGAGGCAGCAGUGGGGAAUAUUGCACAAUGGGCGCAAGCCUGAUGCAGCGACGCCGCGUGGGGGAUGACGGCCUUCGGGUUGUAAACUCCUUUCGCUAGGGACGAAGCGCAAGUGACGGUACCUAGAGAAGAAGCACCGGCUAACUACGUG